UACAAAUUUCCAAUGAUGAAUGUCAUUAAAAAAAAGAGCAGCUUUUGCCAGAAAGGCAGAUUAAAUUAUAGUGUGAUAUGUAGCUCAACUCACCACACACACACACACACACACACACACACACACACGCACGCACAAAAGUUAGUGGUGGUUAUUUGAUCAAUUUGUCAAUUGCCCUUCAGACAACUGUUUUUAGAGCCAAUUAGAUUUCUAGUUAGGAGGAAGAAGAAAAAAAGAGGAAGGACCAAAUGUUUGUUGAAUGUUUCUGCAAGUCAGGCUGGAACAAUCCUUGCUUGGUGCUUUAUAUGUGUUUUCCUAUUUAAUCAUCAAGGUAAUUUUCCAGGUAGUAACUAUUUGACAGGUGAGAUAACUAAGGGCUCAGCGAAGGUAAGAAGUUUUACAUGGUCAGAACUAGUAUAUAGGCAGAGUCAACCUUCAGAACCAUGUUUGAUCAACUCCCCCACUUAUACUUUCUGGUAUUCCACGCAGCCUCCCAGGAAACAUGUUUGUUAUAUAUCAAAAUUUAGAGACUAUAAUUUAAGGCCAGAGCAUAUGCUUGUAUUACUUCAAACCAUGUGAAAAUUCUAAUAUUAAAUUGUUUUGACCUACAAAAAUGGCAACAUAAACAUUUUUACAAAAAUCAUAAAGGUCUGCAAAUAGCGGUAAAUAUUCUAUUAUGAAAAUAAUGAUUAAAUUAAUUUAUUGUCAAUUAUUAUCUGAUUGUAACAUUACAUUCAUGCAAACAGCAGCAGUAUGCAAAUAUUACAAUGGUUUUGUUUAAAUAAGUGUGUAAACAAUAACUUUAAAAGGUAAUAAGGGAUCAAAGGGAUAACAAGAAUUUAAAAUAUCAAAAGAGAUAAAUGAAAGCAGAAAUAUUAAAUAUCCCUGAUUUGCCCAUGGUAACACAGCAUUACUAGACAUUAGGUGUGCUUAUGUGAAAUUGGCAGCUAAAUUUCUCUCAGACAUAAAGUACCAAACUCAUUAAAUUAUUAGAAUGAUUAUUUAAAGCAUAUUUGCCUAGAACUAGAAAGGUUGAAAACAAAAGUAUUAGAUAAAUGUUUAAGGUAGAGCUGAUAGAAAAUUCUCUUAUUAAAGUUCUAGAUGAUAAACUGGUAAAGUGCACUCACUUUUAUGACCCUGGACUUUCCACCUUCAGAACUACGAGUUCUUCCUUUUAUAAAUUAACUAGUCUCAGGUAUUCUUCAAAGCAAAGGAAAAUGAACUAAGACAGAAUCUCAAGGAAGUUUCAGGGAGCUUGAUUAUACAAAUGUAAUCUCCUUUACUGAAAGAAUGUGUUCCUGCCUAGUGAGGAAGCAAAUACACCCAAUACGGGCAUUGUCUUGGUACAUAGUCAGAGCCUGGGAAAUACUAUCUUUGUUAUUAUAUAGAUCGUUGACAGCAGGAGAAAAAGUUCCCCUUAGUUUUUGGACUCUAGAACGGGUUUCAACAUGGCCCCCUCCCAAUUGAAGUUCUAUUAUGGCCAGGAAGACCUAGCAUUGGGUGGGGCCUGAAAAUGAGAAAAAAUAGAAUGGAAUGGAUUUUUUUUUAUUUGCUCUAUGGUCAAAACACAUGAAUGUAAUCAUUGAAAUUGUGAAGUGCUAUAAAAAACAAAGAAUUAUGAUUUCUGUUUUUAGAUGAUUUUUUAAUAAUGGACUUGAGGCACAAGUACCAUCUUAAUGAUCAAUUUUGUUAUGGGAUGGCUUGUUGAAGGGAUAAUUUAAAGAGAUUUAAAAGAAGUCAGAAUUUGCUUUGAACUGGUGCUGGAAUGACACUUGAGUGUCUGGUAAACUCUUUGAAUUUGUUAUAUAAAAAUCUAGUGUUCAUAUUACUAUUUUCACAUCCACAAAUGUGGACAAAGUUUGACUAUGUACUUUUUUGUUUUGUUUUUGAUGUUUGAUGUCUCGGCAUCUAGAGAGCCACUAUUUGAAUUUAUCUCCUCUGUGAAUGACUAAGAGGAUACAGGGUUGGGGGUUUGAAAGACAUGGUCAGCGUGAACACAGCAGUGACAUGUAGCCCACAGAUUCCAAGACUGAGCAAGCCAGAUGUCUUCAAGCAUAGUAGAGCGAGCACCGGGUGUUCCCAUGGGAAUCAUAACUAGACUUCGGGUGAAUUCUGGUAUCUCGGAAUGAAAAAAAUCUCCUUUUGUCUGACACUAUCCAUAAUUUCUGGUUCAAGAACCACUUGUAGAGAUUUUUCAGGUAGGUGCUUAAGAAAUUCUGGUAUCCUCUGGUCUUCUGUCUUCUAAUGUAAUGAUGCUCUGCCCUGUGAAGGAUUUUUAAGAAGUUUGAGUCAGAAGUUAUUGGCCUUAAUGUAGUAGAAAACUGGGGUAAGUAUAACCUAGAUUAUUAUUGUUACUGUUUUAACUUUAAUAGAAUAAGAUCUCCUUUUUGGGUCUCAGCAGAAACUUUUAUGACAGUAUUUUCCUGCUUUAUCAAACCAUGGCAACUAGAAAAAGGAUAACAUUUGUACAUAGCAAUUUGAGUUAAGGUACUGAGUUUGCUCAAGCAGCAGAUAACUGAAAAAUCUUGUCCAGCUUCCCUGAGGACUGAGGGGAUCCACAUGCCCAGCAUAUCCAUUCAAGCUCAGAGGUGGAAGUUUUUGCUGAAGGAGGAACUAUAUCUGUUACAUACUGAACUAUAUCUGUUACAUAGUGAACAAUGGUGCACCCUAGUUUAAAUUGUGUUGGCAAAUACUGUGUACUACAUCCUGUUCUACACACUCUAUUAACUCACUUAAUGUUUACACCAGUCCCAGGAGAUUGAUAUUAUUGUUAUUCCAAUUAUCUAUGAGAGGAAGCAGAGGCAUGUAAAGACUAAGCAACUGACCGAAGUUCACACACAUGACAUAGUAAUUGACAGAACCAAAAUUUGGACCUAACUGAUCUGGCUCCAGACUUGUACUCUUAGCUAGUACAUUAUAUUGCCUGAAGGGAGAAGUUGUAAGAAGAAGGAUGAACUAAGUCAAUAACCUAUGUAGUAUCAGAGCCAAGAUUUUGGGUCUUUAAUGAUUUGAAAAGAUUUUUGACAGCACAAAAUCUUGCUAAACAUAGGCAUCAGACCAGGGCCAGGGUGGAAUACAGCACAGAAAAAAUUUUGAAGUUCAUACUCAUAACUGAAUUUUGGGGCUUGUGCAGAGAUAUGCAAAUUGUGCCUUUUGUUUUCUGAGUGUAAAACCAUUAACCUCCAAUAAGAAUUGGGAGAUUUUGCAUAGAAGCUUUCUCUUUCUCUCUUUUUUUGUGGUGCUGGAGCUCAAACUCAGGGUCUUGUGCUUCUAGGUAAACGUUUUUCUAUUGAACUACAUCCUCAACCUUAGGAAAUACUUUUUAUAAUUUACUUUUAAAAAUUCUCAAGAUAGAAAGGGAGUUUUGGAGUAUAAGGAGCUCAUGUCCCAGGGAGAGAUAGAGGGAGUGCUUGUCCACAGAGAGAUGGUUUCAUUCUAGCCUGCCAGAGCAGAGAUUGCCUAAAUGUCACUGGACUCACCAACAUAGGGCUGAAGAGAGGCAUAUUUGGCAAAAGACAGGGCUGUGAUUUGGGAGUUUAGGAUAAUUAUGCUGAGUCCUGGUGUUACUUUCCAGUACCUUAUGCAAGUACAACUCACCCUCAAAGAGUCAGGUCAAUUGAUUUACUGAUUCCUUCUCUUGUACCAUUCCCAUUGACAAAGACAAACAAGGUGGAAAGCCUCCUGGCUCCCUAAUCUUGUGACCAUCCAGUUGGAAGACAUCCAUGCCUCAUGCAGUCAGCUGGCCAGAAGAGAAGACCUGACAGUGGACUUCAAGACUCUACCGAAUGGCAGAAUCAUAAGUGGAAGGUGCUUCGUUGGUUGAGUCACCACAAAGAAGAAAUCUACUUCUCUGAUCAGAACAGCCAACUGGACUUUGUGGUGGUGGACUUUGUCAACUUGAUUGGCUCUGGAGCAUGGUGUUCCUGUCUUGGAGCUGAGUGACCAUGGACCAAGCCUCUGAAUCCUCCAGUCAUGUGUCAAGCAGAAAGGGACAAUCCUGCCAGUAUUGACCCUUUGUUUUAAGAGGACGAUCAACAGCUGUUCCUGCUAACAUAUGCUUUGGAGGAGCUCCCGAGGGCAAUGUCCGAGAAUUUGAAAUUCUACUUUUCACAUUGUUCCAUCAGAGGCAGCUUGCUCUGGAUCCAAAGGAACUCCCAGAAAAUUUGAUGAGAAGUAUCUGGAUUUACUGACUAUAUGAGUUGUUGGAAAGGCUCAUUUCUUUCUAUUAACAAUUAAAAACAUACCACUCCAACCCUUCAUUCUAGUGAUUUAGAUAUAAAUUCCUCCCCCCAAAACUAAAGAUAUAAUAUAUAACUUUCUUCUUUUUAAUGUAUAUGCUUUGGAAUAACUUUAUUGUACUUUUGUAUUCAGCCUUUAUUGAAAAUAUUUUAUCAGGGGACUGGUAGCUUAGUAGAACUUGGGUAGAUGCUGGUUUUUCAGGGUUCUGGUGGGUAUACCAAUGAUACAUGAUUCCUUAUAAAACUAUUAAUGUGAUGAGGAAGGUAUGUAUACACUUCAUGAAAUGAAGUGAAUAACAAGAAAACAAGGGCAGGAAUAUGCUGAGUGUGACCUAAGUAUGUAAGCAUACACUCUUUGGUUGUCCAAAACUUUAGGUGGGGGGUGGAAACAAUAGAGAUGGGGUUAGGUGUGAUGAGUCAUAUUUAAACCCUGCCCAGCAGCAACUAGUAAUACUUGUCUCUAGUAACCCGGUACCAAGAAAAUUGAUUUAAUGCUGCUAUACCAUGUUUCUCCUUUGGAAGUGCUUGUGUGAGCUACUGUAUCAAUCCUGUAAUAAAGAAUUUUCACUUUCUUUGCAUUAAGUGUGGGGAAUACUGUGAUUGACAGCAAAUUUCAUAGGCAGACACUCUGUUUUGAGAAGAAAUACUGGGGCAGAAAUAUAUUUUUUGACAUUUCAAGGUGGCCUUUCUGUGAGUUAUUGCUGAGUACUCUGUGACUGCCACAUUUGUUUACACCAUCCCUGGACUACCAGUGCUGGAUUCAUAGUUUGUAUUGCUUUAUGGGAUAAUUCAUAUAUAAGGGAUUCCAUAUAAAAAUCAGUGUUUAUUUCUUUUUGCAUUAUGCUUUUGGAGACUGACAUGUAAAGGUGCUUUUUAUGCAGCAUGCAGGAAAUUAAGCACUCAACUCCAGUUAAAACCACUAGGAACCAGGCUCCUGGUGUUUCAGCUGGAGCAAUGGAAAGGGGCUCACAGGUGUGCAAGUAAAUUGAAACAAAGACAGGGAAGAUCUCAGAUAUUUAUUCAGCUGUUGAAAGUUUUAUUGGCAACUAAGCUACAAAUAAUGUGAAUUAUAUUACUGAGUGUUUGCUGAGAA
Molecule: non-coding RNA, 5331 nt
Organism: Heterocephalus glaber (naked mole-rat)
Lineage: Eukaryota; Metazoa; Chordata; Mammalia; Rodentia; Bathyergidae
Source: RefSeq, a predicted model, not a curated record